UUUUAUUUUAAAAUAUCGUUUUAGUGAGAAUGAUUUUGUGUAAUUUUGUAAUGAUUUCGAUUUGAGAAUCGCAAAUUUAGUGAAAAAGUAAUUUUCCGUGAGAAAUUUUCUUGUUAUAUUAUGUUUAACUUGAAAACCACGAAGGCGAAUUCGACAAAUUUGAUUAGGUGUUGGUGCGCGAUUCUACGCGAAAUUUUAACCCGUUAACGAAACGAAAGGUAAAUGUAGUGCACGUUCCAUAAUGCGGUUUGCCAAAAAGUAGGUGAUUGUUGGAUAAAUAACAAAAAAAUGAUUUUCCAUUCUUCAUAAGAAAUAUUUCAAAAUACAUAUUUUACGUUUCUACUUGGUACUGCUAGAUAAUUCAAUUCAUUUGAACGUAUGCUGAAAUUUUCCAAUAUUGUAAAUCGAAUAAAUUUUUUCUCCAUCCAUUAUUCCAAAAUUUAUGCUGAGAAAUUGAUAUUUUUCCCCAAAAUUGAAUGUAACACAAUUUCAAUAUGAUAUACGAGAAAUAUCCACAAAGAAAUUUCCAUUUGAUUAUAAAAAAACAUAUGUGCAGGUCAAAAAACAUAUUUUUCAUGCUGUUAACCUUAUUUUCUAUGUAGUUUCGAAAAUUUUUUAAACACUUGAUUUUCUAUGCCUCCUCCAUGUUCUUCCGGCUCGUUUCAACUUUGAACGAGAGAUUUCAGGUGUAAGAAGAGAUGAAAGUCGGUAGGAGCGAGGUCCGAGCGAUACGGAGGAUGAUCAAACACACCCCAGCCAAAUUCUUGGAGCGGUUUUUAUGUCACGUCACAGUGUGAGAUGGGGCAUUAUCGUGAAAAAAAAACAAAAACCAGUAAUCCACGGAGUUUGCUCUAUUUCUUAAUUUCCACGCAUGUGCCUAAAUCAAACGGCAAAACGUCGGAGCAAACGGUGGAAAUGAGUUGUCGAGGUGUCGAAAUUUGCAUCCCCCUAUGAAUAUUCGAAAUAUAGGUUUUCAUUGCAACUUGGAAAAGGAACUUACAUUGUGGAUGUACCUCGUAUGAAAGAAAUACUAAAAUCAGUUAUUAAAACGUUUUAUUCAAAUUUUUCUAAAAUUUUCGGUUGGAAUUUUUGCAUCAAAUUUUGAUUGAAAUGAUUUUUUUUUGUUAUUUAUUGAGUGAGCAAAACUUUGAUCAGAUGUUGUAGUUUCUUGUGUUUUUAUCUAGGAAUAUUUUGUUGAGAUUAAUACACUCACAGAUUUUAAUUAUUGAAGAAAAAUGGUUUGAAUUUAUUUUUGAAUAACUAAUUAACAUUCAGAAAGUUUUAACAAACAUCCAAUUAUACUUAUAAAACAAUGUUUUCGAAAUCUUUAGGGAUCUUUUGAAAUUUGAAGUUAAAUUUAAAUAUUUCAUUUGAGCAUAAAAUUCAUAAUUCACUCGUGUUUAAAGCAAGUUUAUUCUCUAAAUUAUUACUCAGAUUACUCAGAUUAUGUCGCAAAUUUCGACUACUCCCUUAGAUUCGAACAGAAGAUUGUUAAUACUUACGACCAAAGCUAAUUUUUCUCAUUAUACUGAUCAAAUAAAAUCUUGACUUUGUUAUUUUAGAUUGAUUAAUUCUUUUCAGCGUUUACAGUAACAUAUUUAAGUCCAGAAAAAUUUGAUGAAUAAUUCUGAUGAUAAUCAUAUGAUAGAAUUGCUCCAAUACACCUCAAAUUCACUUUGAUUCGAAAUAGUCGUACAUGGAUCAUUCUGAUCAAUAUAAAUGAUAAUUAGAUAAUUAAUUUACUUCAAAAGGGGGAUUUCCAUUCGAACGUCUUUCUGAGUAAUCUGUUGAGAUUUUACUGAUCUUUGAGAACAAAUCUGUUGUGUUAAUGAGAUGAUUGUGUGAUGAAUGUCUUUGGAAUUUGAUUAAAAAUGAGGCAGGCAACCGCCGCGAUAUGGAAAAGUGAUUCGUAAUUUUCGGUAUCGGUUUCGGUGUGCCGCGAUUCGAUUUUAAGUGAUGGAAAUCAUGGAAAUGGAAAAUGGAUAUGCGGGCUUUCCUAUGUGGACAAAGUUAUGUGUUGGUGCGCGAUUCUACGCGAAAUUUUAACCCGUUAACGAAACGAAAGGUAAAUGUAGUGCACGUUUCAUAAUGCGGUUUGCCAAAAACUAGGUGAUUGUUGGAUAAAUAACAAAAAAAAUGAUUUUCCAUUCUUCAUAAGAAAUAUUUCAAAAUACAUAUUUUACGUUUCUACUUAGUACUGCAAGAUAAUUCAAUUCAUUUGAACGUACGUUGAAAUUUUCCAAUAUUGUAAAUUGAAUAAAUUUUUCUCCAUCCAUUAUUCCAAAAUUUAUGCUGAGAAAUUGAUAUUUUUCCCCAAAAUUGAAUGUAACACAAUUUCAAUAUGAUAUACGAGAAAUAUCCACAAAGAAAUUUCCAUUUGGUGAUAAAAAAACAUACGUGCCGGUCAAAAAACAUAUUUUUCAUGCUUAUUUUUUUAAACACUUGAUUUUGUAUGCCUCCUCCAUGUUCUUCCGGCUCGUUUCAACUUUGAACGAGAGAUUUCAGGUGUAAGAAGAGAUGAAAGUCGGUAGGAGCGAGAUCCGAGCGAUACGGAGGAUGAUCAAACACACCCCAGCCAAAUUCUUGGAGCGGUUUUUAUGUCACGUCACAGUGUGAGAUGGGGCAUUAUCGUGAAAAAAAAAACAAAAACCAUUUGACAGUAAUCCACGGAGUUUGCUCUAUUUCUUAAUUUCCACGCAUGCGCCUAAAUCAAACGGCAAAACGUCGGAGCAAACGGUGGAAAUGAGUUGUCGAAGUGUCGAAAUUUGCAUCCCCCUAUGACUAUUCGAAAUAUAGGUUUUCAUUGCAACUUAGAAAAGGAACUUACAUUGUGGAUGUACCUCGUAUGAAAGAAAUACUAAAAUCACUUAUUAAAACGUUUUAUUCAGAUUUUCGGUUCGAAUUUUUGCAUCAAAUUUUGAUUGAAAUGAUUUUUUUUUGUUAUUUAUUGAGUGAGCAGAACUUUGAUCAGAUGUUGUAGUUUCUUGUGUUUUUUUCUAGGAAUAUUUUGUUGAGAUUAAUACACUCACAGAUUUUAAUUAUUGAAGAAAAAUAGUUUGAAUUUAUUUUUGAAUAACUAAUUAACAUUCAGAAAGUUUUAACAAACAUUCAAUUAAACUUACAAAACAAUGUUUUCGAAAUCUUUAGGGAUCUUUUGAAAUUUGAAGUUAAAUUUAAAUAUUUCAUUUGGGCAUAAAAUUCAUAAUUCACUCGUGUUUAAAGCAAGUUUAUUCUCUAAAUUAUUACUCAGAUUACUCAGAAUAUGUCGCAAAUUUCGACUACUCCCUUAGAUUCAAACAGAAGAUUGUUAAUACUUAUGACCAAAGCUAAUUUUACUCAUUAUAUGAUAUUGAUCAAAUAAAAUCUUGACUUUGUUAUUUUAGAUUGAUUAACUCUUUUCAGCGUUUACUGUAACACAUUUAAGUCCAGUAAAUAUUUGAUGAAUAAUUAUGAUGAUAAUCAUAUGAUAGAAUUGCUCCAAUACACCUCAAAAUUAACUUUGAUUCUAAAUAGUAGUACAUGGAUCAUUCUGAUCAAUAUAAAUGAUAAUUAGAUAAUUAAGUAACUUUAAAAGGGGGAUUUCCAUUCAAAUGACUUUCUGAGUAAUCUGUUGAGAUUUUCCUGAUCUUUGAGAACAAAUCUGUUGUGUUAAUGAGAUGAUUGUGUGAUGAAUGUCUUUGGAAUUUGAUCAAAAAUGAGGCAGGCAACCGCCGCGAUAUGGAAAAGUGAUUCGUAAUUUUCGGUAUCGGUUUCGGUGUGCCGCGAAUCGAUUUUAAGUGAUGGAAAUCAUGGAAAUGGAAAAAGGAUAUGCGGGCUUUCACUUGUGGACAAAGUUAUGUGUUUGUGCGCGAUUGGACGCGAAAUUUUAACCCGUUAACGAAACGAAAAAUAUAUAGUGUGCGAAUCGAUAAAGCGGUAUGCCAAAAGGUAGGUGAUUGUUGAAUAAAUAACGAAAAAACAUAUUUCUUCAAUUUUUAUAACAAAUAUGUAUUUCAAACUACAAAUAUAUGUUUUUCUAAAAUGGAAAUGCUGCUGCAUCAGGAAUAUAUAAAUACAUGUAAAAUUCUAUUUUCUAUUAUCGUUUUUCUGUGUCACGCUUCUUUCCAAAACUUAACCUGUUUGAAAAAUAAAUUUUUUAUGUAAUAAAUUCUUUACAAAUUAAAUGUAAAACAAUUUUCCUAUAGUAAAUACUAAAAUACUAAAAAUUGUCAUACACGUCUAAAUAACAUUUUUAUAACAGUUUCAAGAUUAAUUUCAGAUGAAAUGUUUUUUUUUGUUAUUUAUUGGGUGUGCUAUGAAAAUUAUUUCCAUGAUAAUUUGUUGAUGGUUACAUACAUGAGACAGGAGACAUACAGGAUUCCAGGAACAUUUUGAUUGUUUACGUACGGAGAUAUCGUUUCAAAUUCGUUUACACAAUUACCUAUCUAUUAUUAAACAGAGCCACUUUAUUCUUGACUUAAUUCGAAAAAUUUUAUUAAAAUUUAGAUUAAAUAGCAAGAAAUUAUAAUACAAUACAUUUUUUUCCAAAAUGUCUUUAAAAACCAUUUAAAAUACAGAGAUUAUUUUGAGAAUAUUAUCCAAAUAACUUUGAUAAAAUUGAUUAGAUUCUGUUGAUAUUUUGUGUAAAAAUUGAUGGAAUAAAUUAAAAUUUGAAAGUUAAAUGUCCACUCGUUUGGAAACGAGUAAAGAAGAUGAUUGUUUGAAAUAACUAUUAGGGAAUUUUGAAAGUUAUUAAUUUCGAUAAAUUUGUUGAAAGAUUCGAAAAAAAUUGAGAGCGGCUCAAUAUAUGAAAAAUCCAUCUGAAUAUGAAUUGAAACGAAUUAUUUAUUUUUUUAUAGGUAUCUAGGUACAAUGAGGAGUUUGCAGUUCUUUGAUGUGUUAUAUUUCCAAAUUUUUGAAUUUAUUCUUUCUUGUUUUGAUGUUUUGUGUGAUAUGUGAUAUAGUGUGAUCGCAUGGUUAUCCUCGGGUACAAUAAGGACUUGUAGUUUUUAGAAAAUCUCCUUAAACUAAUUAAUUAACGAACUUUUUGUUAAUUUUUUCAAUACUGUUGGUUAUAUAACUAAUUAAGUUUAACUUGUAGAUGUGAUUUCCAUUCAAAUGACUUUCUAAGUAAUCUGUUGAGAUUUUCUUCAACUAUGAGGACGAGGCUGUUGGGUUAAGCUAAUUUUUUUCGGAAAAUUAGUUCCCUAGAAACGACAAGUACAGGCUUGAGGUUGCUCUAACGUAGUGGACUAACAAGUCUGUGCUAUGGGGAUGAUUGUGUGAUGUAUGUCUUUGGAAUUUGAUCAUAAAUGAGGCAGGCAACCGCCGCGAUAUGGAAAAGUGAUUCGAAAUUUUCGGUAUCGGUGUGCCGCGAAUCGAUUUUAAAAGUGUUGGACAAUAUGGAAAUUGGUAUAUGGAAAUGGAUAUGGAAAAUGGAUAUGGAAAGUCUACUUCGUGGAAGACCAUAUGUGAGUACAAAUUUUUAUAUACAUUAAAUUAGGUUGGGUGAUUUCGUUUUCUAAUGAUAGUAAAGUUAUAACGCAAUGAUAAACUUUUGUCUGAUGCUUACAAAGAUAUGAAAAUCAAGUUACUUUUGAGUUCUUUAUUUGAUAGAAAAGUUUCACAACCAAAAAAAUCGUAUGGAAAAAAAUUUAUAGAUAUCUGGAGAAUAAUAUUCCGUAUGAAUUUGCAUUUUUAAGUUUGGUAUUUUCAGUUAAGUAAAUUGAAAGUAUGUGUGUGAUAAUUAUUGUAUCUUGUAUGCGUGUGUAAAAAAUUCCGUUUUGAAAUCUUUAUAUCAAUGGCUACUUCAUUUGUUAUAAAUUUUGGUUUUUCUUUCCCAAACUGGACCUGAAAUUUAAAAAUAUAAAAUGUUGUAAACUUCGGAUCUGUGAAUUACUUUGAUAAUAAUUGAAUGAUAAAAUUAUUAUACACUAUUUUGUUCUUAUACAGAACUUAAUAAAAUUGAAUUUUUCGAAAUGAAAAUUACAUUUUUCUAAUAAUAAUUCGAAAAAAAAAACAUAUUUUCUGGACAUUUUAUUUUAUAAUCGACUGUGAACAAUUUAUUCCAACGUUAAUUGUUUCUAAUUUAUAUCAACCCUUAAAAAAAGAAAACUGAAUCUGUUUCUUUUUUAAUUUUGAACGUUUUCUGCUCAAGUUAGUUGAAUGUAUAUAUGUAAUAAUAUAUUUUGCAAAAUAAAGAUUUUCUCAAGAGUUUAUCGAAUAUCGAUAGCUACUUCCUUUGUUAUAAAUUUUCAUCAUUCCUACCCAUUUUGGACUUGAAAUUUGAAAAGAUAAAAAUGUAAUAACUAUUUAAGGUAAACUUCGAAUCUUACUUAUAGACAAUUGAAUAAUAAAAUCAUCAUAUAUCGUUUUUUCUAAUGCAGAACUUUACAUGAUUAAAUUUUUCGAAACUGAAAAUCCAUUUUACCAAUAAUGAUUUGAGAAAAAAACAUCUUCUGGACUGUUUUAUCAUAGAAUUGACUUGGAAAAUUUUUUCAAACGUAAAUUAUUUCUAAUAUAUAUCAAUCAUUUAAAAAAAAACACUGAAUCUGUUUAUUUUUAAUAUUCUCUGAUUAAGUUAAUAGAAGAAAGUAUGUAUGUAAUAAUGAUAAAUACCUUUUACGGAAUGGAAAUUUUUCAAAGUCCAUCAAAUAGGAAGCUAACUUGUGUGAAAAAUUAAGUUUCCCAAUCUUCAUAUCGACAGCUAUUUCAUCUGUUAUAAAUUUUCGUCUUUCUUUUUUCUAAAACAAAUUUUUAUAAAAUUGAAUUUUUCGAAACUAAAAUUCCUUGUUUUUAAUAAUCAUUUGAGAAAAAAAAUUAUUUUCUGGACUAUUUUAUCAAGAGAAAUUUUUCAAAGUUGUUAUACAUCGUUUUUUUCUAAAACAAAUUUUUAUAAAAUUGAAUUUUUCGAAACUAAAAUUCCUUGUUUUUAAUAAUCAUUUGAGAAAAAAAAUCAUUUUCUGGACUAUUUUAUCAUAUAAGCGACUUGAAGAAAUUUUUCAAAGUAGUUAUACAUCGUUUUUUUCUAAAACAAAUUUUUUUAAAAUUGAAUUUUUCGAAACUAAAAUUCCAUGUUUUUAAUAAUCAUUUGAGAGAAAAAAAUCAUUUUCUGGACUAUUUUAUCAUAUAAGCGACUUGGAAAAAUUUUUCAAAGUUGUUAUACAUCGUUUUUUUCUAAAACAAAUUUUUUUAAAAUUGAAUUUUUCGAAACUACAAUUCCUUGUUUUUAAUAAUCAUUUGAGAUAAAAAUUAUUUUCUGGACUAUUUUAUCAUAUAAGCGACUUGGAAAAAUUUUUCAAAGUUAUUAUACAUCGUUUUUUUCUAAAACAAUUUUUUAUAAAAUUGAAUUUUUCGAAACUAAAAUUCCUUGUUUUUAAUAAUCAUUUGAGAGAAAAAAAUCAUUUUCUGGACUAUUUUAUCAUAUAAGCGACUUGGAGAAAUUUUUCAAAGUUGUUAUACAUCGUUUUUUUCUAAAACAAAUUUUUUUAAAAUUGAAUUUUUCGAAACUAAAAUUCCUUGUUUUUAAUAAUCAUUUGAGAGAAAAAAAUCAUUUUCUGGACUAUUUUAUCAUAUAAGCGACUUGGAGAAAUUUUUCAAAGUUGUUAUACAUCGUUUUUUUCUAAAACAAAUUUUUUUAAAAUUGAAUUUUUCGAAACUAAAAUUCCAUGUUUUCAAUAAUCAUUUGAGAAAAAAAAUCAUUUUCUGGACUAUUUUAUCAUAUAAGCGACUUGGAAAAAUUUUUCAAAGUUAUUAUACAUCGUUUUUUUCUAAAACAAAUUUUUAUGAAAUUGAAUUUUUCGAAACUAAAAUUCCUUGUUUUUAAUAAUCAUUUGAGAGAAAAAAAUCAUUUUCUGGACUAUUUUAUCAUAUAAGCGACUUGGAAAAAUUUUUCAAAGUUAUUAUACAUCGUUUUUUUCUAAAACAAUUUUUUAUAAAAUUGAAUUUUUCGAAACUAAAAUUCCUUGUUUUUAAUAAUCAUUUGAGAGAAAAAAAUCAUUUUCUGGACUAUUUUAUCAUAUAAGCGACUUGGAGAAAUUUUUCAAAGUUGUUAUACAUCGUUUUUUUCUAAAACAAAUUUUUUUAAAAUUGAAUUUUUCGAAACUAAAAUUCCUUGUUUUUAAUAAUCAUUUGAGAGAAAAAAAUCAUUUUCUGGACUAUUUUAUCAUAUAAGCGACUUGGAAAAAUUUUUCAAAGUUAUUAUACAUCGUUUUUUUCUAAAACAAAUUUUUAUGAAAUUGAAUUUUUCGAAACUAAAAUUCCUUGUUUUUAAUAAUCAUUUGAGAGAAAAAAAUCGUUUUCUGGACUAUUUUAUCAUAUUAGCGACUUGAAGAAAUUUUUCAAAGUUGUUAUACAUCGUUUUUUUCAAA
Molecule: long non-coding RNA, 8348 nt
Organism: Diorhabda sublineata
Lineage: Eukaryota; Metazoa; Arthropoda; Insecta; Coleoptera; Chrysomelidae
Exons: 4
Source: RefSeq, a predicted model, not a curated record